GUUGCGCGCGGCGGCGCGGGGAGGGCCGAGCGGCCCUCGGGUGCCGGAUCCCCGCUCGCCGGAGGGACGGCCGCGGCCGCACGUUAUAAAUGCUGGUGACAUUCGGACUCCUUUAAAAUCAAAGACAAAGCUCGCUCUGCAGCAAAGCUGAGAGCAUCUCAGAAGGUGAUGGAACAUCAGUUGGGUCCAUGGUCCCGACGCCUGUGGCAGCUCAGAUGGGCUGUCACCACAGCGGAUUCUUCUGUUGUUCUGUCAUUCAGUUUUUUAUUGAGUCUAGAUAAAGAGGAUACACUGGGAAAACAGCUGAUGGUGAGAUUACCUAGAAUUAAUAGAACUGUCUCUUCAGGCAGAGUCCAGAAAGUAUGUUGGAAGAGAGAGAAUAAAGGCCUAAAAUCUGAAAAAGUACAAAGAUAAAGAUGAGAAGAGUCUCUGAGAAGCACAUAUGGCAGUAUUUCUGGGGAAAAGAAGCAGCAAGGGCACCUGUUGUUGGAGGAGCUGGUGAUGAUACUGGAUUAGUGCACAUGCGGUCAGCCCACUUGGCCUCGGCCCUUUGGACCCAAAAUGAACUCCAGCUGCUGUUACCCAGAGCAGGUGCUUCAUCCAGCCUGAGCAGCUGUUUGAAUGCAUGCUGUUGUGGCCAAUAGGCGGGGUGAGUCCUCUGAACUACCAGUGGAAGAGCUGGUCAGCAGGAGGGAAGGGAAAGGCACAGAGCUGGGUUUCUUAUACCCAGCAUUUAGCAAGGGGACAGUAUUCCAGCAUAGCAUGGUGGAAAUGGGAAACAGUGGCUGGUAUUUUGCAUGCAACAUGCCCACAUGACCCAGUGAUGGAUGCUUGUUCCCAAAAUGAGGCUGAGACCUAUAGAAUACCAGCAGGACCCUGACAAAUGCUGGAUCUGUAAGAUGCUGAAUCUCCCUUGUCAGUUACGUGGCCUUGUGUGAGACAUUCAGAGGGCUGCUGGCAUCUAACAGUUACUCAGUGUUUUCAGCCACUGGUUCAAAGCUUUAAAGAGCUGCCAGGCAGAGGUGAGAUAGGCGCAGAGCAGUGUGCAGGGUGAUAUCUGUGACGUGCAACAGCUGAAACCAGCAGCAAGGGAAGAUGACAAAAGCAGAGGGAAAUGGGUUAAGAUGCAGCCACGGGAGUGCAAGGGACUGUGCCAGAUCAGUGGAGGGUGAGGAGACACGGGCGUUCAGAGUUAGGGAAGGCUGGAAGUCAGCAGCCAGAGUUUGAGGAGGGAGUAUAGACAGGUAACACCAAUGAUAGAGCAGUGGUAACCCAGGGAGGGCUAGAGAGAAGGGAGCAGGGCAGGGAUGAAGGUUUCUUUUUUCUACAUUGCAUAUGGUUUCAGUCAGAUCCCAUCAGCCAGGCUUCUCAUUCUUCAUGCCUUUGCUAAUUGCUCAAGCAAGCUCUCAGCGAACCUCCAUAUUUCAUUUUUCAUUACAGUGUGGCGCAAGCCCAGGAGAAAAACAUAAAUAUUUGAGGCCUCUCUUUGUCAGGAAAUGGGAUUUCCGCAGGUGCUCAUUUACAAAUACUGUGCAUGCUUCUGAGGCUUGGCAUAUGGCAUUGCUAAAUCCUGAUUCAGGAUGCAAGAAUGUCUCGUGGCCUCUGCCAUGUAAACUGUUGUCCGCCCAAGUUUGGAAGUCAGCCCUCAGUGAUGGCACUAGACAAGUAUGGGUGAAAUGAGCAGCUUGGCUUCAGCACUGAGCAAGACUUGUUGAACACUGAGGUCCACAACAGGUCUGAAGAGUUGGAAAUGUUGCAUCCUUUCCCUCUUGUCACCUGCUCCCACAUGACUGCAGAGCCUGUGCUGUGCUUUUGGCUCACCCUGCAAAUGCUCCUUGUGAUGGAAGCUUCUGUGAGGCCAUGAUGAUGUGUCAGAGUCCCUGAGUAUCAGUGGAGCCUAGAAGGCCCAGCAGAGCUUCGGAUGAGAGCUGCUGCCAUCUCCCAGGUGCUCACAGUCUCCAGAACAUAUGUAUCCAUGCACUGGGAAGGAGGAGGGCAAAGCAAACCUUCUGGCCUUUCUUUUAGUGAAGGCCGAUGCUUUGCAGUGCUGUUCUCAGGUUUGAAUGCCUUUACAAGCAGUGGUGCAUUGGUGCAAGGUGCUGGAUUAAACAUAGCCUUGCACUUAGCUUGCUCAGUGGUCACUGCUUCAUUGGACUGACUAGCAGAGCUUCUGCAGAUGCUGGGAAAGAAAGAUGCGUGUAAAGCUCUGAAAGCUGGCUCUGUGUGUGGGGGGUAACGGGGAUGCAUGUCACUGCCUGACACGAUAAUGGGGUCAACGGGUCACCUUCAUUUUGUCCUCUGAGUUGGAGGCUGAGGACCAAUGGUUGUUUUGCCAGAUGGAAAUGAGAAUACACCUAUGCUAUAAUAAAAGUGCUGUUUCCUCUCUGGAGGCGUGAGAAGCCUUGCAGAGGGAUCUCAAUUAGAGCAGCGGACAAUCAGCAGUGGCAUAAAACUCAACAAAGGUGAGUGCUGGGUGCUGCACCUGGGGUGGGGCAUAGGACAUAGACAUAGGACAGAUGGGAGACAAGUGAAUGUUGAGCAGCUCAGCAGGAAGGAACCUGGAGUGAGGGGGUGUUAGUAGCAGCAGUCUCAGCAUGAGCUGGAAAUGUGCCCUGGCUGCCAAGAGAGAAAGCUGCUUUUUGGGGUGCACUGAAUACAGUGUAGCUGUCUGGUCAAAAAGUUGAUUAGUUCUCCUGUUGUGUUUAGUGUUUGUGUGGCCUUACCUUGACUACUGUGUUCAUUUCUGGUCUCAACAGUAUAGAAAAUAUAUUAAGAUCCUUGAAGACAUCCCAGUGCAUGUCCUGGGGGGAGAGGCUGAGCACAUGUGGACUGUCUGUGUUGGAGGACACUGAGAGGCGACCUCACUGCUCCCUACAACUUUGCAUUGAGGAGGAACAGAGGGAAUGCCAGACUGUACUUUUGGGGACCGUGGGCUGGAUGCACAGGAGCAGCACAAAGCUGCUCUGAGGAGGCUCAAACCAGGCAUAAACAUUUCCUUACCAUGAGGGUGGUCAAAUGCCCUCACUGUGCUUUAAUUUUUGGUUAGCAGUUGGACCAGAAGACCUUCUGAAGGUCUCUUCCAAUGCAACUAAUCUCUAUUCUAAAUAAUAGAAACUUCUGAGUAUUCCUUAGACUUCACUGAUGCCCAUACUUCACCUGGAAGGAUGCUUGCAGGCUGGCUUCUGAUCCAGCCCAACAUGUCCAUGCCCAAGACAUGAGUACAGCUUGUUUUUGCCCUUGGUAGGUGUGGUGAUGAACAGGAAACCUUUCCAAGGGUGUGGCCUCCAGCAAAUGGUGUUUUGCAUCUUGCUCCAGAAAUACUGCCUGAGUUGUGACAGAAAUGUCACAAAAAUGUCACAGGUAAAAGCUACUGUUUUAAGUGGAUUUGCUGCUUGACUUCAGUCAUUAUACACAGAUGGAGGAAAUCGUUGCUUUCUCUGGUUUUUGGCUGUUGUAUUUUCAGUAACUGAGCCUUGAAAAUGUGCUACUUUGGGGGUGAGGGGACUACUUACUGUCCUCAAAAAGACCCUGCCAGAUGAAAUGUAGCGGUGCAAAGAACUGUUUAGACAACAAAUAGCAUUGAACCAAGAUAUGGUCUUUAAGGUCUUUUCCAACUUGUGCAAUUCUAUGAGUCUACGAUGAUGGUUUUACCUUUGGUCCUCCCUAGGGGCUUUGUACAUGAGCUGGGGACCUGGAUAGCAGAGCUCAAGCGCACACUCUGGAGGUGCACACACCAUGCAGUGCUAGUAGAAGGAGCUUACAACCUCAAGCGAUGGUUGUGACAGCUUAGCAGGUGUUGGGAUUUCAUGGCACCAUGGUUAAGAUGUGCUGGAAGAUGCUGUGAUAAUUAUUAAGGUGUCAAAUAUGUGCUGGAUGCAAUGUCAGAGCAAAGUUGCAGGUUUUGAUGUGAUUUCUCUGUUUUAAAAGGGGGUUGACUGCUUUUGUAGAUGAAAUUUGGUUUUGCUUUGGUGCUGUGUAUGUCCUGUUUGUGGGGUUUGUGUGUAGCCACUGCAGGGCUGUGUGAUGCAUUAACUUCUUUCCUUCAUACCUCCCUGUUCUGUCUUCCUCUGGUCCUGUGCUCUCUGUCUCACUGCCACUGUCCCCUCGGCAGCCCUCUCCCCUGAGCACAUGUGGAAGAGGCUGAGGCACAAGGCUGCUGGCUCCUAUGGCUGCCUGGGUGUGCUGCUUGUCCUCCAGCAGUGGGAAUGGUGUUUACUGUCCCCCAGCAGCUGGCUCUUUGGCGCUGGCAUCCGCACGCUCUAGGCGUGCUCUAACAGAUUUCAUCCAGCUCGCUCCUGACUGGUGCAGUACAUCGUCAUAUCCUCGCUGCAGCUGUCUGGGGAUGAAGAAGCCCCUGUUGGGGUGCCAGCCAGUCUGACUGCUUUGCAACAGGAGACUGCCAGGAUCCCUGGUGGCUUUGCGGAAGACUGGACUUUUGUCGCGUGUCCCAACCCCCCACCACUGUACCGCACAGCAGCAUGGAGCUGAGAGUCCUCAGUGGAUUGGGUAAGGCCCUACCUUGCAAAUGCCUCAUCCAGGCACAUGAGCACUUGUUUUUGCACAGCGUGACCCACGCUGUCAGCCAUAAUCCUGAAACCUAAGGUGCUAGAAGGAAAAAUUGCAUUUGUACAACUUGCCAGUGUUGUGCUGAAACUGGCACAAACUGCAGGAGCGUUCAUAGUACCUGUCAAGAGUUUGGUGAGCAGGAGCUCAGCAGUAGAGGAUGCUGGGUUGGGGUUGUCUUGUCCAGAGAGCAGCAUGAUGGCAGCAUGUCUGCCAAAGCCAGAAGAAAAAAGCCUGUCACUGUCCUGCCAGGGUGUAGACUGCCACUGCUUCCUGGUAAUUUACUUAUGUCAGAGAAAUAAUACUUUUUAAGAAUAGCAAGCAGAAUGUACUCAUGUUCUGUAAAAAGUUUUAUAAUAGCAAUGUUCAUCUGUCAGCUAGCAGGGUGAGCAGUCUGAACACUUCUCAGCCAAGAUCUAUUGACCCUCUGGUUCCUACAACACAGCAGCAGUUGGUGAAAACACAAAGGCACAUCUUUAGGAAACACUUUUGUCAGGAGAGUCAUGGACUCCACUGCUGGUGCAGAAUAAAGACCUUUAUUGCAGGUGCUCACCUUUUAUACCCACACAGUAACUCCUUGGUCACACGUGACCAAGCGCCUUGUGAGUAUUUAAGUCUGGCACAAAUAGCUACCAAGCUUGUUUUUAUUUAUUUGCAAUGUCUUUUGUUCAUAAUCACCCCUUUCUUUAUUAGUUUGAACAACAAGCACUUGGUUGAUCGCCUUAUUAAUAUAAAGAAUAUAUAUCAACAAACAUGCAAAAACAAAAAAAACCACAAUAAUCCACAUCACCUUUCCUUUUUAUACAGCCAGACAUGAGAAAUCUUCCUACAAUGCCAAUCUACUGCACAUGAGCAAAUGUUCACCUUGAAUAUCUGCUUCUGAAUAUCUGCAUGCCAUCAUCUUUUCUCUUAGAAUUUUCUGGAGCAUUGAGCAACUGCUACAACAGCUAAAAGGAAUUUCAGCACAUUGCAGUAUCUCACAGCUGGCCUGCUGAGCUCACGGCUUGCAAUAUGGCACUAGGGAACAAGUAUUCAAAUAAGAGGACAACGUUCUUCUGUAAGAAUUUCCUGGAGAAGACAUGUCCUUCCCUGAAAAGACUCACAGUCACCAACAGGCACAAAAGGAUGGAAGAAUCCCCCAUGGACUCAACACAGCUGCUUCCCAGCACUGCCACAGUGGCAGAGCCGCACUGGCUGGGCAGCUGAGCUUGAGUAGCACAGGGACUCAGUAUGCCAGGCCCACAAACCCUCCCCAUGUCUCACUGAACGAGAUGGGGAAGAAUGCUUUUCCUCCCACCUCCAGCACACAGCUCUGCAAUGCUCUCCUGGGAUGGAAGGCAUUAAAAUACAGGUGUAGAAAGUUUCUUGCCCACCACACAUCACACUCAUCCUAGACACUCACCCUUUUUUUCCUUCUAUCAUUAUUCCUUCUCUAUUUUUUACUUUUGGUCUGGCUUUUUUCUUAAAGACAAAUGCUUGCAGACAGUAAGCACCUUUCUUCCUGCACAUCCUGCUCAGAGUAGAAGUUACAUCCAUGGAGCUCCAACAUGAGACAGCCAUCAGGGAAACAAAGCAUUUCAUGUAGUUUUCAAUGCCUAUUUUCUAAUAAAAUGCACAAAAUACUGGUUACACCCAAUCCCAGGCUUCUUAAUGCAAUUGCAGCAACUGCAUGUUAAAGCAGUACAAAACAAUUAGGAAUACAUGCUAUAGUAUUUAUUUUUCUUAGCUAUUUGAUAAAUGACUGUGCUCUUAAUAUUAAAAGGCUUCUUGUGGAUAGGUUCCUGAAGUCUUUUCUCAGCAGCAACAGUUAGAUUUCAAAAGUCAGACAGCGACAGUAAUUAAGGAAAAAAAAUUGACCCAAUCAUUUUUCUAAUUCAGCAACUAAUUUUGAACCACCGAAAUUUAAGCUGCUUGCGUUCAUCUAGGAAAUACUAUUAGGAGUAGCUGUUCGCUCUCUAAUAGCACUCUGUCUUUAGUUUCUUGUGAAUGAUAAUCCAGGCUGCUUUUGCCUUAGGAACUGGGGGUUAUGUUUCCCACUGACCUUCUACAGGCUUCCAAAAAUAGGGAACCAGGAGAGGGAUGGCUCUGAGUGCCCACAGACUGCACCCGCUUUGCACAGGAAAUGUAGAAGGGGAUUUCAGUUUUCUUCUUCUUUGCUAAGAUGACCACAAAAAACACCAACGCCUGGAGUCAAAUGUGACAUUUUCAGUCAAACACCGUCAUUCAUUUUUGUCUUCCAAAGGAAUCACUUUGAUUUGAUUCCACAAGCACUCAGGAAUGACAUUCGGAACUGUUGACUUAAAGGUUCUUCUUUUUCCAUUUUUAUUUCCUUGAGAUACAAAUAAACUUUUCCUUGUUUUUCUUC
Non-coding RNA from Coturnix japonica (Japanese quail), 6928 nucleotides. The record is from RefSeq and is a predicted model, not a curated record. NCBI's taxonomy places the organism in Eukaryota, Metazoa, Chordata, Aves, Galliformes, Phasianidae.